This 765-nucleotide long non-coding RNA is filed under the name Ananas comosus (pineapple). RNAcentral's name for it is "long non-coding RNA (ACOM_LNC004059)". Lineage: Eukaryota; Viridiplantae; Streptophyta; Magnoliopsida; Poales; Bromeliaceae. The record is from RNAcentral.
GUUUCAAAAUCAGAUCUAACUAAUUCAAUGUUUUCUAUAGGGAUAAUUACCUAUAUACCUCUCAUACGUUUGAAAAUAUUCAAUUUAUUUCUAUUUUUUUUUUCUUUCUAAAAUACCACUCAUAUAUUCUACUGUUAUUGCAAAAUACCUUCUCAGUUAUUUCCUGUUAAGUUAACUUGGGUUAAACGUGAGUUAAAUAUCUACCACAGUUAAAAUAAAUUAAAAUGCCAAUUUUGUUCUUAAUUUAAGGGCAAAUAAAAAAUGUUGGUGACGCUAGAGAGGUAUAUUGAAAAAAAUCAAAAGUCAAAAUACUUUUUGUGCCCCUGACUUUAAGGGCAAAUAAGAAAGCCAGUGAUGGUGGAAGGGUAUAUUUGAAAAGACAAAGUAGUAAUUUUACAGAGAUAACAGAGUUAAUUAACAGAUUUUAACUCUAGGGUUAUAUUAGAAAUAGGUUGGAACAUAAAAAGAGUAUUUUCAAUAUUAGCGUUUUAAAAGAGGUAAAUCGAAAAGUUAAUUAACAGAUUUUAACUCUAGGGGUAUAUUUGAAAAUGCAAAAUAGUAAUUUUACAGAGAUAAUAAAGUUAAUUAAUAGAUUUUAACUCUCGAGAUAUAUUAGAAAUAUGUUGGAACGUAAAAAAGGUAUUUUCAAUAUUAACCUUCUAAAAGAGGUAAAUUGAAAAGUCAGAAACUUUUCAGGGCUAUAUAAGCAAUUGCCCCUUUUCUAUAACAAGGAAAAGUUUUAAAAUUAAAAGUACUUUUCAAAAU